Molecule: non-coding RNA, 347 nt
Organism: Ciona intestinalis (vase tunicate)
Lineage: Eukaryota; Metazoa; Chordata; Ascidiacea; Phlebobranchia; Cionidae
Source: RefSeq, a predicted model, not a curated record
GCAAUAAAACGUUUCACUGGGCACUCUCUCAAGUUGUAAUGGUAUUCUGGUGUGAUAAGAAGUGCAUGAAAUGAAAAUCUCAAAGUAAACAUAGGAAUAAAUGCUUACGAAUUAAGACAACCAUUUAAGAACCACUGGAUUGGAGGAAUAGCUGCUAGGUGUCUGGCUCAAAUACACACGCCCACAAUAGUGGCGGCAUCAAUAUACAAACGAAACCAUACCUGACAACUGACAACUUCCAAUUAACAUUAGUUACAUAACAGCGCAUUCUUUGGGCGUAUGCUGCACUGCUGUUUGAUUACUUUCGCAUAACUCAUAUAAUAUAUAUGAUUGGCUAGUUUGCAAAG